This is a non-coding RNA of Loxodonta africana (African savanna elephant), 69 nucleotides long. Lineage: Eukaryota; Metazoa; Chordata; Mammalia; Proboscidea; Elephantidae. The record is from Rfam.
GGCCUUGUGGUGCAGUGGUGAAGCAUUCGGCUGCUAACCGAAAGGUGGGUGGUUCAAACCCACCAGCCG